Molecule: ribosomal RNA, 1554 nt
Filed under: Triticum aestivum (bread wheat)
Lineage: Eukaryota; Viridiplantae; Streptophyta; Magnoliopsida; Poales; Poaceae
Description: partial small subunit ribosomal RNA
Source: RNAcentral
AUGUCCACUUGCUGCUGGUACCUUUGGUGGGAGAGGAGAAAGCUUGUGCACAAUGAGCCGGUACAAGAUGCGAAGAGAGUUGCGCAAGCGGUAUGUGCUUUAGCUGCUAACUAUGCUAUUGCAUGUGACCCAAAGGCCUCGUUAAAGAGGGGAGGUUGGUGCAAACCCCCUAGUGGAUAUGUCAAGUUGAAUGUUGAUGCGGCCUUUGAUUGGGAUUUGCUUCAGGGGGCGAUGGGAGCAGUCAUCCGAGAUGAUAGAGGACAUAUGGUUGUAGCUGGAAACAAGCUCAUUGAUUCCUGUUAUGAUGUACUAACUGUUGAGGCAAUGGCUCUGAAGUUUGGGUUGAAUAUGGCGCUCACAGCUGGGUGCAAUAGACUGAUUGUCAACUCGGAUAAUAUGGAACUCAUGGAAAUAAUGAAUAAGGAUGGCCAAUAUGCUGGAGAUGCCGUGGCCAUUGUUGAUGAUUCCGCCCGCCUCCGUCUCUCCCCCGCACUCCAUCGCCUCGCCGCCGUUCCCCGCAACCUAUCGACCCAAUCUCACAUCACCCGACGGGACGGGACCUGGCGCCUCGUCCUCUCCAGAUCUUACGCCCGCCCGAGUCAUAGUACAAACUGGGCCAUAUUGGGCUCUGUGCUUUUACCCCUCUUGAUUGAUAACCCCUCUUGCCCUCCGUCCCUCCUAUAUCAUAAAAGCCGCCCGCACUCCAUCGCCUCACCUCGUCGCCGUUCCCCGCAACCCGCUAUCUGUCGACCCAAUCUCACAUCGAUCACCCGACGGGACCGUCCUCUCCAGAUCUUACGCCCGCCCGCCCGCCCGCCCGAGGUCUGGGAUCCAGCCAGCGUGGUCUCCCUCCGCCUCCGGAGUUGCUCGUUCCGAUUGUGGUUGGUAGGCGCGGCGCGGCGCCGUCUUGUAUCCUGCCCGGCUCUGGAUUUGGUUUCUCAAAUGGUCCUUCUUCGCCGCCAAAAGGAAAUGAUGCUCUACAAAAUCCACUCCCAUGCCCAAAUCCAAGACCUGCAGGCCCGCUCCGAUGAGCUGGGCCACUCCAAUGAGCACAUGGAUGUGAAGCUUUUCUCUCUGGAGUCGGUGCGCAUAGCGCUUGAGUCGUAUGCACUCCUCCGCCCGCUGAUCAUGGAGUCCAGGAUGUGGUUUUGCCCGGAGCUGGAAAUCCUCUCGGAGGAGGCUAAGCUGGAACCGGGCGCCCUGGAAGCCCUCCUACUCAUGAACAACUCAGCUGUUGCGCUCUUACAUAUGAGGAAGUGCUUUAAGGAAGCCUUGGGCUUUUUUCUUCGCGAGGAUUAUGUGGUCUCAGCCAAAGUCAAAAAGCUGAGCAAAAUGCUAAAGGAUAUUGCUGUCCCGUUGCUUCAGGAGCAUGAAUGCAACAUUGUCUGGCUUCAGGAGCGUGUCCCGUUGCGGGUCCAGCUGGUCACCGAUGUGUUGGAGACCCGGUUAAUUUCUGUGAUUCUGAUGAGUCUUCUGAUGAUGAGUCUUCUGAUGAGUAUUCUGAUGAGUAGACUUAUCAGCCAGCUCGAGGCUGUUGUGAUGAGUAUUUCUUAG